RNAcentral lists this ribosomal RNA (460 nucleotides) under uncultured bacterium. Its description in RNAcentral is "partial 16S ribosomal RNA". It matches the Rfam family "Bacterial small subunit ribosomal RNA", at positions 338 to 795 of the family's 1533-position model. The record is from RNAcentral.
CCUACGGGUGGCAGCAGUGAGGAAUAUUGGUCAAUGGGCGCGAGCCUGAACCAGCCAAGUCGCGUGAGGGAUGAAGGUUCUAUGGAUCGUAAACCUCUUUUGUCAGGGAAUAAAGUGUGGGACGUGUCCUAUUUUGUAUGUACCUUGUGAAUAAGGAUCGGCUAACUCCGUGCCAGCAGCCGCGGUAAUACGGAGGAUCCGAGCGUUAUCCGGAUUUAUUGGGUUUAAAGGGUGCGUAGGCGGCCAUUUAAGUCAGCGGUGAAAGUCUGUGGCUCAACCAUCUAACUGCCGUUGAAACUGGGGUGCUUGAGUAUGCUGGAGGCAGGCGGAAUGCGUGGUGUAGCGGUGAAAUGCUUAGAUAUCACGCAGAACCCCGAUUGCGAAGGCAGCCUGCCAAGCCAUGACUGACGCUGAUGCACGAAAGCGUGGGGAUCAAACAGGAUUAGAUACCCUGGUAGUC